AUGGUUUGGUGUAAGUACAGCAAUUCUCGCCUCUUUCUCUCCUUUUUAAGUCUCUUGAGCUUGGAGAUCUCUUUCCUCGUUGCAAUUAUGAUUAUUUGCAACAUCAGUGCCAUCAAAGAUUGGAGCACUUUCCUCUCCCAGAUCCUCCCCAGUGUUAACAAGACUCUGAACUUGGUACAGCAAGUGGAAGCCACCACCAGCUCGGUGGUAAGUGUCCUCCAGGACCCUGAGCAGGACAACUACCUGUCCAAUAGCCAGUCCAUGAACUCCAGCAACUUCACAGCUGGCCUGGACCACUUGUUCCAAUACUCAUACUCGGACAAUGACCAGCUCUACAAGGAGUACAAACCCCCUCCUCGAGAUGCCAUUCCUCUGCCCAAGGCUGUCCUCUACCUUCUCAUGGCAGCCCUGGUGGUGGUGGCAGUGGCGUACGCCAUCGUCGGGCAUCUCAUCAAAGACCUCAUUUACGACUUUGUAGACUGGAUCUUUGGCCCCAACCCGGACGACAACAGCAACAAGAGCGACAUCAACUGCAUCAGCAACAGCGUCAAUGAGAUGAGCGAGAUGCCCGAGGCGCCGCGGCACCGGGACCGGCAGCCCCAGGACGUGGUCAUUGCCAUCGGCGAGACUUGCCACCUGCCACAGCAGACGUGACCGGCGCGACGUCCGGGCCAGGCGGGAUGGAGCAGCGGGAUGGAGCAGCAGGAUGGAGAGCAGGAAUGGAGCAGAGGGAUGGAGCGGAGGGAUGGAGCAGUGGAACACUGCAGCAGCCACCUUGCAGGACCGGGCACUGAGAGGAAGGGAUGAGCAGAGCCGGCACUGCGGAGCAAAGCCCUUCUCCCGCUGGCUUUGCCUCUAAGGACCUUGCUGGGGUGGGUGGCAUUGCCCCUUCUCCCAGGCUUGUCAGCCCUGUCCUGACAUCUGCCCGUGGGUUUGUGACCCCUUCUUUGUUCCCUGUGAAUAGCAAAAAAGAAAAAGCAAAUGCAAAAUACACCCACCAAGCAAAGCUUGCAAGAGAAAUGAGCUGGAGAGAAGCCGGGCGGUCCUUUGGCAUGUGGCUGUCCAGCGGCAUGGGAAUGGGGUGGUGAAAAGGGCAAAGGAGACAAGGAGGCGACAGAGAAAUGGGGGUAUCUGUGUUUCUGGGGACAGGUCCAGGACACAGCAGGGAGCUGGGGACUGCAGAAAGACACAGAAAGGUCAGUAGGGGCCAAAUCCAGACCUGUAGUUUGGUGACCUGCCUGGGUCAUCACUCCUCUCCUUAGUUUUGCAGCUCCAGCUCACAGCCUAUUUGCACAGCAGGUGCAUCAUUCCUUGGUCCUAGUGCCUCUUCCUGAUGAAGAUCCCUUUGCUCUCCACAUCUUUCCUGAAC
RNAcentral lists this long non-coding RNA (1369 nucleotides) under Manacus vitellinus (golden-collared manakin). Its description in RNAcentral is "lncRNA (ENSMVIG00005011909.1)". Lineage: Eukaryota; Metazoa; Chordata; Aves; Passeriformes; Pipridae. The record is from RNAcentral.